AAAUAUAAAAGAAACCAUAAGGCCCAUAACCUAAACUUUUUCAGAAAACUAAAAAAACCCUAGGCCUCUAGCGCCACUCCCCUUUGCCAUGUCAGCGGACACUUCUCCCAAAGACACCCACGCCUCGAGGUCUGUCGCUUUGCCACCGUUUCACCGAAAUGGUUAAAGGCACACCUUCCUAUCACCGCUGACCGCCACCACCACCUGCAAAACAGAAAGAACAAGAGAACAGAAACGACAUAGAAACAGGAAGCAAAAACAGUGGAAAUGGCAGAAACAGUAGAAACAACAAG
This 293-nucleotide long non-coding RNA is filed under the name Gossypium raimondii (Peruvian cotton). Its description in RNAcentral is "long non-coding RNA (GRAI_LNC001939)". Lineage: Eukaryota; Viridiplantae; Streptophyta; Magnoliopsida; Malvales; Malvaceae. The record is from RNAcentral.